AAUGAAAAUUGAAAAAAGAGGAACGAAGCACAAAGCAGAAAUGCUAGGAAAUGAAAUUUCGAAGUGUUCCUUUCCAAGUUAUCUUCGUGUGUUUGUGGAAAUAUUCCAACAACAAUCUAGAGGGGUCCACACAUUCCAAACAUACAUAUUUAAUUUAAAAUACAGUACACAUGAAUGGACAAUAGUACAAGCACAUGUGGUUCACACAAUUCUUCCUAUCUUUUGUUUUUUGUGCAAGAUAUAUACACACACGAUAUAGAUAUGAAAAAAAAAGAAUAGAAAAAGAGAAAGUGGGGAACAAUACUUUGAGAGAUAAGGAGGAUUUUCGGGGAAAAGGAGGGGACCAAAAUAUUUUGAGUUUUUCUUAUUUGAUUUGGGUUUAAAAUAUGGAGAAGAUAAGUUGUAGUAGAAAUUGCACUAAUUAAAUGCCCAUUUAAGGGGGCUGAAAAUGACAGAAGGAGGACAUUCGGAGAGAAGGACCCUCCCCCAUUUUUGAGAGACGCGACGCUGCUCCCUACCUUCUUCACAAGAGAACAAAACUCCUUCCUCUCAACACCUCCGGUCACUUCAACAACCCCGCUCCCAUCAUCGGCGAACUCGCCGGAAACACGAGGACAGUGGCACCACGUCUCUUCACAUCUCCGCCAGCCACAUCUCUGACUCUCACACCCAUCUCUCACUCUCACCUGAAACACAUGCACUUAAGAGCUUACAUAAAUGGGAUUGGAAUUUAAAAAGUACAAAAACAAUCAAAAAAAGGAGUCCAAAAUUGCUCAAGUUGGUUACUACUGGUUUUCGAAUUGCUUUUCUCAGAAUUUCUGGAUGUCUAUUGUGUAAAAGUGACGAGAAUUUUGCCCUGCUCGCUGCUAUUCAAUUUUGAAGUUCUACUGUUUUCGUCCGCGUCUAGAAGGAUCAGGAAGAGAUAAGCAAGAAGGUCCUUGACUUUCAAUUUGAUUUCUUUGAUAACGUUGGUGUGGACUAAAGUCCACGGAGGUGGAGUUUUUUCCAAUCUAUCGUGGAGAGGUUUUAGCAAAUUGCUAAGGCUUGGAAUGAAAUCCGACACAUAAUUAACACAUCCUAAAAUCUUUGAUGCUGAGUUUUAUCUAAAAUUUGGUCUGAAAAUUUGUCAGCAAAUUGUAUGGAUCUUUGAAUAGGGACAAUGGUUCCCUGCUCGAUAUUGUGCCCAAGAAAUCGGAUGUUGAUUUGAAAAAAACUAUAUUUAGUUUUUGAUAAAACUAAUCCAUUUUCUUUGAUAA
This is a non-coding RNA of Nicotiana tabacum (common tobacco), 1256 nucleotides long. Lineage: Eukaryota; Viridiplantae; Streptophyta; Magnoliopsida; Solanales; Solanaceae. The record is from RefSeq and is a predicted model, not a curated record.